Molecule: ribosomal RNA, 301 nt
Filed under: uncultured bacterium
Lineage: Bacteria
Description: partial 16S ribosomal RNA
Rfam family: Bacterial small subunit ribosomal RNA
Source: RNAcentral
CAGCAGCCGCGGGAAUACGUAGGGGGCAAGCGUUAUCCGGAAUAACUGGGCGUAAAGGGUGCGCAGGUGGUUUAACAAGUUAGUGGUGAAAGGCAUAGGCUCAACCAAUGUAAGCCAUUAAAACUGUUUAACUUGAGUGCAGGAGAGGAAAGUGGAAUUCCUAGUGUAGCGGUGAAAUGCGUAGAGAUGUGGAGGAACACCGAUGGCGAAGGCAGCCCCCUGGGCCAAUACUGACGCUCAUGCACGAAAGCGUGGGGAGCAAACAGGAUUAGAUACCCCUGUAGUCCCUGUCUCUUAUACA